AUUCGCCCUUAGAGUUUGAUCCUGGCUCAGGACGAACGCUGGCGGCGUGCUUAACACAUGCAAGUCGGACGGUUUGCGCUGGAAGGUUCGCUGGAAGGCGCAGAUAGUGGCGAACGGGUGAGUAACACGUGGAAAACCUACCCUCGAGCGGGGGAUAACUCCGGGAAACUGGGGCUAAUACCGCAUGACAUCCCAACCUGGCAUCGGGAGGGGAUCAAAGCCGAAAGGCACUUGAGGAUGGUUCCGCGGCCUAUCUGCUAGUUGGCGGGGUAACGGCCCACCAAGGCGACGACGGGUAGCCGGCCUGAGAGGGCGAUCGGCCACAAGGGGACUGAGACACGGCCCCUACUCCUACGGGAGGCAGCAGUAGGGAAUUUUGCUCAAUGGGGGAAACCCUGAAGCAGCGACGCCGCGUGGGCGACGAAAUCCUUCGGGAUGUAAAGCCCUUUUAACCGGGACGAAAUACAUGACGGUACCGGUGGAAUAAGCCUCGGCUAACUCCGUGCCAGCAGCCGCGGUAAGACGGGGGAGGCAAGCGUUGUCCGGAAUCACUGGGUGUAAAGGGCGUGUAGGCGGGCCGGCUAGUCGGUUGUUAAAUCUCUCCGCUCAACGGAGGAGCUGCGGCCGAUACUUCCGGUCUUGAGUGCGGCAGGGGAGGAUGGAAUUCCUGGUGUAGCGGUGAAAUGCGUAGAUAUCAGGAGGAACACCGGUGGCGAAGGCGGUCCUCUGGGCCUGCACUGACGCUGAGUGCGCGAAAGCUGGGGUAGCAAACAGAAUUAGAUACUCUGGUAGUCCCAGCCCUAAACGA
RNAcentral lists this ribosomal RNA (808 nucleotides) under uncultured bacterium. RNAcentral's name for it is "bacterial SSU rRNA". It matches the Rfam family "Bacterial small subunit ribosomal RNA", at positions 1 to 809 of the family's 1533-position model. The record is from RNAcentral.